CUACGAGAGAGGACACCGAAUUAAGAUGACCCUGGGUCUGAGCUGGCAGCGGUGUUCUUCAGCAAGCUGGUUUGAAUAUUGGAUCUUAAACAACCAGCCUCUUUAUAUGCACCUUUAAAAUCUAAUUCUGCUUUAGAUCUGGGAAGUGCGUGAUUAAUCUUGAUCAGGAAGAUAUAUUUCUCUUUGUUUAAUAUUUUUAAUCUUAAUUAAGGUCAUUUUCUACUCUGGGCCAUAUUGCUAUUUCAUUUACUUAGCUGUAAUGAUUAAAUCUAAUUUGCUACUCUGUGAAAUCUUAAUCCUACUGAAGACUAAUGGCUAUAGUACACAGUUCAGUUAAGAAACAGAUUCACCACAUAACCUCCAUUAAGUAAUUCCAUUUAUUCCAAUAAAACUAGAUGGCACAUGAAAGAAAGAAUCUAUGGUGGUCUUUAUUUUCCAGAAAUCAUAAAAAUUUUAAUACAAGCACUCAAGAGAUGUUUUGACCUCUUCCUGAACAUACGAUUUCUCACGGCCAGAAGUCAUGGGAAAAAAUUUCAAAACAAAUCCAACUCAUAAAAUCUGUACUCUGGGAAAAAAAAAAAAAAAGGGGGAAGAAAAGAAAAAGAGAAAAGUGAACUACAUAAUGUGCUCGAUCUUUUUUUUACAACUACAGUGUUCUCCCCUUCAAAUAUAUGAAAUGUCAGCUUGAAAGUACAGGGAAAAUGUCUCCAUAUCCACAGCAAACAUGAUUUCUUGGAAAAAAUAAUGACAGAAAAGCUUAUUACUAAUGAAGUAUUCUCACUAUAAUCACAUCUCCUUCAUUACCUCCAUAUUUUUGGUGAUAUAAAAGGAGGAACAAUUAUUACCUUGUUCACUUUGAUUUAUUUGGCUCAGUACCUCCUUACUUAGGUAAUGUAAAAUAAACUGUGCUACAUGGGUCAUUUAUGAUGUGAUUUAAUAAGAUGCAUUUUAUUUCUCGCCCUCAGGGAAACAUAUUUGUUUGCAAGCACCUGGCAAAAAACAUUUCUUUUGUUGAUUUUCUUUUUUCAUCCAAUAGACUUCAACCCACAGAGUAAUUUAAAGCUACAAUACACAGGUUGUCAUAAUGGCAAUCUACUAAAACAAGACUUCAAAUCCCACAGAAGGAAAUGGUCCUUGGAUGCCAAAAGAAGGAAGGUCAUUAUUACAAGGUUGACCAGUUCCUAAAUUCCUGUGGGUAUGUCCUUGUAAAUUAAGACAUGUUCUUUUCCAUUACCUGAAACUGUUAAUAUUUUUUCAUUAAAAGUACAUGCUAUUUACAAGCAAUACAUAUAUAUGUAUAUAUAUAUAAAGCAAGGAAUAUGAGACAGACCUGGAGGUAAAAUGCAGAGCUAGAAAAUUGCUUUUUUGAAAAACAUGGGCAAAUUUACUGGUCUUAAACUCACAAAGACUUUAUGAGAAUAUGAGUCUUGAUUCUGUGGCUUUUAGGCUUUUUAAGUAAGUGCUCAUUUUCAUCCAUAUGGUGGGAAUAACAUUUAGCUAAACCUCCUUGAUGGCACAAGAUUAAAGAAGCUGAUAUUUUACAUGAGAAUAUUUCAUAUAUUGUCAUGCUGACUGCAGGAUGGUAAUGUGUUGUGCCACAGGAUCCAUCCCUGCAUUCACCUAAAGCUUGUACAGCUCUAUGUGUGACAAAACAACAGUUGUUCUAGUGGAGCUGAUUGCAGCCCAAGGAGCUCAGACGAGCUCUCUGCCAGUGGGCUCUGCAUGAAGGGGGUGCUGCUCACACCUACAACUGCUGGGAAAGUCCCUCACAAAUGCUCUGUAAAUAUGUCCCUAGCGCUACAGCCACAUUAGCCUGCUCUCAGAUAGCAGGAAACCUGCAUUUUCAUACUCAAGAGAAUGUUUAUUUGAUUUUUCUAAUUUAUGUUAUACUAAUCAAGAAUAUUUCUAAAUAAUCAAUUAUCUUUGUAUGUUUGUAUUAAUUGAAAUGUCUGGCAGCUGAGUCUUUCCCUUCUUUUCCCUUUCCCUUUUCCCUAUCCGUAUCCCUUUCCCUUUCCCUUUUUCCUUCCCCUUCCCCUUCUCCUUCCAUAUCCUUAUCCCUUUCCCUUCCCUUUCCUUUCUUUUCCCUCCAGAUUAAUCACAUUUUAUCCACUUUCAGGGAACCAGUUUUGUACAAUUAUUCUGCAACAUGCAAGAGGAAGCCUACAGUUUUCCUGAAAAGAAAUUAAAAUUAUGCAUUUCCAAUG
Molecule: long non-coding RNA, 2204 nt
Organism: Gallus gallus (chicken)
Lineage: Eukaryota; Metazoa; Chordata; Aves; Galliformes; Phasianidae
Source: Ensembl